This is a non-coding RNA of Acanthosepion pharaonis, 113 nucleotides long. The record is from the annotation of a GenBank genome assembly. NCBI's taxonomy places the organism in Eukaryota, Metazoa, Mollusca, Cephalopoda, Sepiida, Sepiidae.
UAUGACCAUAUCACAUUGAAACACCAUUUCUCAUAUGACCAUCAAAGUUAAGCAACAUCAGGCCUGGUCAGUACUUUGAUGAGUGACUGCUUUCGGAGACCAGGUCCUGUAAG